Nothoprocta perdicaria is the source of this 183-nucleotide long non-coding RNA. RefSeq lists it as uncharacterized. NCBI's taxonomy places the organism in Eukaryota, Metazoa, Chordata, Aves, Tinamiformes, Tinamidae. The transcript has 2 exons. The record is from RefSeq and is a predicted model, not a curated record.
ACRGCUGCUACCUGCCGGCGCUCGGCGGCUUCGUGAUGGUCCUCAGCGACGCCGGCGACAUGAUCUACCUGUCCGAGAACGUGCACCGCCUGCUGGGCCUCAGCCAGCUGGAGCUCAUGGGCCAAAGCGCCUUCGACUUCGUGCACCCCUGUGACCACGAGGAGCUGCAGGAGCUGCUGAGCC